This 701-nucleotide ribosomal RNA is filed under the name Escherichia coli. Its description in RNAcentral is "partial 23S ribosomal RNA". It matches the Rfam family "Bacterial large subunit ribosomal RNA", at positions 2230 to 2925 of the family's 2925-position model. The record is from RNAcentral. Lineage: Bacteria; Pseudomonadati; Pseudomonadota; Gammaproteobacteria; Enterobacterales; Enterobacteriaceae.
GACCCGUAAUCCGGGUUGCGGACAGUGUCUGGUGGGUAGUUUGACUGGGGCGGUCUCCUCCUAAAGAGUAACGGAGGAGCACGAAGGUUGGCUAAUCCUGGUCGGACAUCAGGAGGUUAGUGCAAUGGCAUAAGCCAGCUUGACUGCGAGCGUGACGGCGCGAGCAGGUGCGAAAGCAGGUCAUAGUGAUCCGGUGGUUCUGAAUGGAAGGGCCAUCGCUCAACGGAUAAAAGGUACUCCGGGGAUAACAGGCUGAUACCGCCCAAGAGUUCAUAUCGACGGCGGUGUUUGGCACCUCGAUGUCGGCUCAUCACAUCCUGGGGCUGAAGUAGGUCCCAAGGGUAUGGCUGUUCGCCAUUUAAAGUGGUACGCGAGCUGGGUUUAGAACGUCGUGAGACAGUUCGGUCCCUAUCUGCCGUGGGCGCUGGAGAACUGAGGGGGGCUGCUCCUAGUACGAGAGGACCGGAGUGGACGCAUCACUGGUGUUCGGGUUGUCAUGCCAAUGGCACUGCCCGGUAGCUAAAUGCGGAAGAGAUAAGUGCUGAAAGCAUCUAAGCACGAAACUUGCCCCGAGAUGAGUUCUCCCUGACCCUUUAAGGGUCCUGAAGGAACGUUGAAGACGACGACGUUGAUAGGCCGGGUGUGUAAGCGCAGCGAUGCGUUGAGCUAACCGGUACUAAUGAACCGUGAGGCUUAACCUU